This 71-nucleotide transfer RNA is filed under the name Myxococcales bacterium. RNAcentral describes it as "tRNA-Gln". It matches the Rfam family "tRNA". Rfam says of the family: Transfer RNA (tRNA) molecules are approximately 80 nucleotides in length. Their secondary structure includes four short double-helical elements and three loops (D, anti-codon, and T loops). Further hydrogen bonds mediate the characteristic L-shaped molecular structure. tRNAs have two regions of fundamental functional importance: the anti-codon, which is responsible for specific mRNA codon recognition, and the 3' end, to which the tRNAs corresponding amino acid is attached (by aminoacyl-tRNA synthetases). tRNAs cope with the degeneracy of the genetic code in two manners: having more than one tRNA (with a specific anti-codon) for a particular amino acid; and 'wobble' base-pairing, i.e. permitting non-standard base-pairing at the 3rd anti-codon position. Lineage: Bacteria; Pseudomonadati; Myxococcota; Myxococcia; Myxococcales. The record is from RNAcentral.
UCCGGGGUCGUCUAGCGGCAGGACACGCGGCUCUGAACCGCGUCACGUUGGUUCGAAUCCAGCUCCCGGAA